UAGGAGCCUACUCAAGACCUUAGUCUAGAA
RNAcentral lists this non-coding RNA (30 nucleotides) under Rattus norvegicus (Norway rat). Lineage: Eukaryota; Metazoa; Chordata; Mammalia; Rodentia; Muridae. The record is from RNAcentral.